This 1248-nucleotide ribosomal RNA is filed under the name human gut metagenome. Its description in RNAcentral is "bacterial SSU rRNA". It matches the Rfam family "Bacterial small subunit ribosomal RNA", at positions 8 to 1277 of the family's 1533-position model. The record is from RNAcentral.
AGAGUUUGAUCCUGGCUCAGGACGAACGCUGGCGGCGCGCCUAACACAUGCAAGUCGAACGAGCGAGAGAGAGCUUGCUUUCUCAAGCGAGUGGCGAACGGGUGAGUAACGCGUGAGGAACCUGCCUCAAAGAGGGGGACAACAGUUGGAAACGACUGCUAAUACCGCAUAAGCCCACGACCCGGCAUCGGGUAGAGGGAAAAGGAGCAAUCCGCUUUGAGAUGGCCUCGCGUCCGAUUAGCUAGUUGGUGAGGUAAUGGCCCACCAAGGCGACGAUCGGUAGCCGGACUGAGAGGUUGAACGGCCACAUUGGGACUGAGACACGGCCCAGACUCCUACGGGAGGCAGCAGUGGGGAAUAUUGCACAAUGGGGGAAACCCUGAUGCAGCGACGCCGCGUGGAGGAAGAAGGUCUUCGGAUUGUAAACUCCUGUUGUUGAGGAAGAUAAUGACGGUACUCAACAAGGAAGUGACGGCUAACUACGUGCCAGCAGCCGCGGUAAAACGUAGGUCACAAGCGUUGUCCGGAAUUACUGGGUGUAAAGGGAGCGCAGGCGGGAAGACAAGUUGGAAGUGAAAUCCAUGGGCUCAACCCAUGAACUGCUUUCAAAACUGUUUUUCUUGAGUAGUGCAGAGGUAGGCGGAAUUCCCGGUGUAGCGGUGGAAUGCGUAGAUAUCGGGAGGAACACCAGUGGCGAAGGCGGCCUACUGGGCACCAACUGACGCUGAGGCUCGAAAGUGUGGGUAGCAAACAGGAUUAGAUACCCUGGUAGUCCACACUGUAAACGAUGAUUACUAGGUGUUGGAGGAUUGACCCCUUCAGUGCCGCAGUUAACACAAUAAGUAAUCCACCUGGGGAGUACGACCGCAAGGUUGAAACUCAAAGGAAUUGACGGGGGCCCGCACAAGCAGUGGAGUAUGUGGUUUAAUUCGACGCAACGCGAAGAACCUUACCAAGUCUUGACAUCCUGCGACGCACAUAGAAAUAUGUGUUUCCUUCGGGACGCAGAGACAGGUGGUGCAUGGUUGUCGUCAGCUCGUGUCGUGAGAUGUUGGGUUAAGUCCCGCAACGAGCGCAACCCUUAUGGUCAGUUACUACGCAAGAGGACUCUGGCCAGACUGCCGUUGACAAAACGGAAGAAGGUGGGGAUGACGUCAAAUCAUCAUGCCCUUUAUGACUUGGGCUACACACGUACUACAAUGGCGUUAAACAAAAAGAAGCAAGACCGCGAGGUGGAAGCAAACUCAA